This 21-nucleotide non-coding RNA is filed under the name Arabidopsis thaliana (thale cress). Lineage: Eukaryota; Viridiplantae; Streptophyta; Magnoliopsida; Brassicales; Brassicaceae. The record is from RNAcentral.
CAUUGUCAGGUGGGGAGUUUG